RNAcentral lists this ribosomal RNA (429 nucleotides) under bacterium. RNAcentral describes it as "partial 16S ribosomal RNA". It matches the Rfam family "Bacterial small subunit ribosomal RNA", at positions 355 to 776 of the family's 1533-position model. The record is from RNAcentral.
UAGGGAAUCUUCGGCAAUGGGGGCAACCCUGACCGAGCAACGCCGCGUGAGUGAAGAAGGUUUUCGGAUCGUAAAGCUCUGUUGUAAGAGAAGAACGUGUGUGAGAGUGGAAAGUUCACACAGUGACGGUAACUUACCAGAAAGGGACGGCUAACUACGUGCCAGCAGCCGCGGUAAUACGUAGGUCCCGAGCGUUGUCCGGAUCUAUUGGGCGUAAAGCGAGCGCAGGCGGUUUAAUAAGUCUGAAGUUAAAGGCAGUGGCUUAACCAUUGUUCGCUUUGGAAACUGUUAAACUUGAGUGCAGAAGGGGAGAGUGGAAUUCCAUGUGUAGCGGUGAAAUGCGUAGAUAUAUGGAGGAACACCGGUGGCGAAAGCGGCUCUCUGGUCUGUAACUGACGCUGAGGCUCGAAAGCGUGGGGAGCAAACAGG